CAGUCGCCGCGGGAAUACGGAGGGCGCGAGCGUUACCCGGAUUUACUGGGCGUAAAGGGCGUGUAGGCGGCCUGGGGCGUCCCAUGUGAAAGGCCACGGCUCAACCGUGGAGGAGCGUGGGAUACGCUCAGGCUAGAGGGUGGGAGAGGGUGGUGGAAUUCCCGGAGUAGCGGUGAAAUGCGCAGAUACCGGGAGGAACGCCGAUGGCGAAGGCAGCCACCUGGUCCACUUCUGACGCUGAGGCGCGAAAGCGUGGGGAGCAAACCGGAUUAGAGACCCCUGUAGUCCCUGUCUCUUAUAC
Molecule: ribosomal RNA, 301 nt
Filed under: uncultured bacterium
Lineage: Bacteria
Description: partial 16S ribosomal RNA
Rfam family: Bacterial small subunit ribosomal RNA
Source: RNAcentral